CACACAUUUUGUAACAGAAAAUUUUUCAUCCUUUCACUGCGUUGUAGAUCAGCCCUCAUCUGCAUCUCCUCAGAUUGAUUCAGCUCAGAUCCCGCAGGCUAAACAACCUUGUGUGCGAUCAGUGCUGGACUAGGAGCUGCCCAAGGCUGGCACAGUGUGCACAGGAAGGGGCACGGAGUAUCCAAGAUGGGUGCUCAUCCUCCUGGAAAGGCCUUUUUCAAUACAUCUCGGAAGCACUUGAGAUGCGGAGGGCGUUGUCAGACAGUAUUCCAGAGAGGUGUCUGCUCUGUUGAAAUGCUUCCUCUAUAUGGUGGUCACAGAGAUUUGGGCUGGAAAGCAGAUAUUCAUGGAGUGGCUGGUGUUCUGCAGGCUGGCUGAUAUUCCACACAACAUUUUUUCCGUCGUUCGCAUUCCUCUGCUUACUUUUCAGAGAAGACAUGAAGCAGGCUCCCUUCUGCUACUUGCAGACUGUAGCCUUUUACAAGAGUUUGGAUGUGGGAGCAGUGAUUUCCCUGGGCUGGACUGUUGCUGGAAGCUGGCUGCCUGACAGCUGUCUGAUGAAGAGCCGCAAUGAACAGCGCAAAGUGCUGUGUCAGGCGUGGCUGAGUUGUGUCAGCCGUUAGCAGAGCGUUGGCUGAGGACGUCUUUUGCCUUUGCCCGAGUGUCACAUUUGCAAUGCUUAAAAUGUGAAUAUAGGGAGUGACCGGCCAUGUGUGCGGCCACCUUGCGCUGGGCCUCUGCAGAGGAGGCUGAUGCACUCUUGGACUGGGAUUCACGAAGCCCUGCAUGAGCCCAAGCUUCGCAGCUACGUUGUUCGAUCGCGUCUCCCUCGGAGCCUCAGUUUCCCUUUCUGUAAAGUAGGGAAAUGGGUGAUCUCCUUCAUGAAGUGCUUGGAGAUUCAGGACUCGUCUCCCUCAGAUGAGAGCAAGGCAAUUGCUAGAAACACCCAAGACAGUUCACCUACCAAAAAGUUUAAAAUUUGAGCAGUGCGAAGGCUGUAUAUGAAAACCUGGCCGAAGCAGAGUCCUCUCAGCCGGGGGCUGGAACCGGACGCUUUCCGAAAGGGGCCAGGAGCUCUGCAUUGGCCAGCUGCAGAAUAACUGCGGGGUGUUUCUUCCAAAGCGCCCUUCGUUGGCGGUUGGCUCUUGUCCUGCAAUAAAGGAUUUUGGUAGUGUUUUAGUAAACCA
RNAcentral lists this long non-coding RNA (1187 nucleotides) under Apteryx owenii (little spotted kiwi). Its description in RNAcentral is "lncRNA (ENSAOWG00000004232.1)". Lineage: Eukaryota; Metazoa; Chordata; Aves; Apterygiformes; Apterygidae. The record is from RNAcentral.